CCCGUCCUACGGGGCGCAGCAGUGGGGAAUAUUGCACAAUGGGGGGAACCCUGAUGCAGCGACGCCGCGUGAGUGAAGAAGUAUUUCGGUAUGUAAAGCUCUAUCAGCAGGGAAGAUAAUGACGGUACCUGACUAAGAAGCCCCGGCUAACUACGUGCCAGCAGCCGCGGUAAUACGUAGGGGGCAAGCGUUGUCCGGAUUUACUGGGUGUAAAGGGUGCGGAGGUGGCAGGGCAAGUCAGAUGUGAAAGCCCGGGGCCCAACCCCGGUACUGCAUUUGAAACUGUCCGGCUGGAGGGCGGGAGG
Molecule: ribosomal RNA, 305 nt
Filed under: uncultured bacterium
Lineage: Bacteria
Description: bacterial SSU rRNA
Rfam family: Bacterial small subunit ribosomal RNA
Source: RNAcentral